RNA transcript from Rhododendron vialii, 871 nucleotides. RefSeq lists it as uncharacterized. Lineage: Eukaryota; Viridiplantae; Streptophyta; Magnoliopsida; Ericales; Ericaceae. The transcript is spliced from 3 exons. The record is from RefSeq and is a predicted model, not a curated record.
UACAAAAAUUCCACGGCAUUCCUCUUCUUCCCUUCUCCCUCUCUCUAAUCUCACACCUACCAUUCCUCUUCUCCAGAAUUUAAAAACUCCCAAGUUUGCUAUGUUUGAUUUUGGGGACGACCUCUUCAUCGGUAGUCACAGAAUACCAUGGCUGGUAUGGAUCCAGCUAAUAGUCAUGCUUCUCCUCGUAAUACUCCUUUACUAUUUCAUCGCCUUCGCUUUGGGACUAGAUCCCUCCCCCGCCGCAGGCGCCGCUUCGUCUUCCGCCGUCCUCCGCCGCAGCGAAACCUCCAGACACCGACCGCUGCCGAUCGCCACCGCUGUUUCUGCCGCCACCGCCGCUUCCAGCCGAUUAAACACUGCCAAGGCGGGUGAGAGCCAUAGUAUUAGAGGUGAUGCGGGAACAAGCACAAGCAGAAGAAGAGUAAGGAGAGAAGAAAUCCAAGAGAGGGAAGGAAGCUCUUCAGCAAAGGAUGCAACCGAUGCCCCAGCUUUGGAUCGAUAUUACCACCCGUGCCAUUAUCUAGGGUGGGCUAGACAAGCUUUUCUCAAGUGUUUGGGCUUGGAUCCCCCCUCAAGUAAUCCUUCCUCCAACACCAGACACAGAAAAGAAAAAUGAUGUAUGCAUCCCUCCCUCUGGCUCUGUGCACUCAGAUAUAUAGAUGUAUCUGUCACAUAUAAGCAUAUAUCUGAAUAUAUAUGUAAAACGGUACAGUGGAAGUUGGUCCUUAGGUUGGUUUUUUCAUCUCCGUAUGCAUGUAAAAUGGUACAGUGGAAGUUGGUGCAUUUCUGUUUUUUUUCAAAGGAAGAUGUUUUAACAGAGUUCUUGAAAUGAUUGAAAAGUGAAUGAGCAUAAUACCUGGAUAUUGAA